GCCUCCUUAGCUCAGUUGGUAGAGCAUCAGUCUCAUAUGUGUGCGCUGAGUGUCAUCAGUUCGAUCCUGAUAGGGGGCA
Non-coding RNA from Terfezia claveryi, 79 nucleotides. The record is from the annotation of a GenBank genome assembly. Lineage: Eukaryota; Fungi; Ascomycota; Pezizomycetes; Pezizales; Pezizaceae.